AACCUUUUGUAAUUCAUAAGCUUGAUGAUUGGGUUUUCACGUGUGCGUGAGAUGUGCCUCCCUCAAUCCUUGUUACGACAUCGGCACAUUAUCCGUCUGAUG
Molecule: small nucleolar RNA, 102 nt
Organism: Lemur catta (Ring-tailed lemur)
Lineage: Eukaryota; Metazoa; Chordata; Mammalia; Primates; Lemuridae
Product: small nucleolar RNA U13
Exons: 1
Source: RefSeq, a predicted model, not a curated record